Long non-coding RNA from Onychostoma macrolepis, 459 nucleotides. RefSeq lists it as uncharacterized. Lineage: Eukaryota; Metazoa; Chordata; Actinopteri; Cypriniformes; Cyprinidae. The record is from RefSeq and is a predicted model, not a curated record. The transcript has 4 exons.
GUAAAAGACUCUCUCUCUGCGUUUGAGAAAAAAAGCAAAGCGACGGCGAGUUGUCUGCUUCACACUAGAGCUUACGCUUCUGACACCAAGACGAAUUCCUUGUGUGGGUAAACACACUUGACCCUUUCUGAUCUUGAAUGCCUUUAUUAACCCCCUGGAGCCGUGUGGAGUAUUUUAUGAUGGAUGGACGCAGUUUAUUGGAUUUCUAUUGGACUAUUGAAUCUCAACACCCAUUCACUGCCAUUAUAAGCUUGGCAGAGCAAGGACAUUUUUUAAAUAUAACUCCGAUUGUAUAGAAGGAAGUCAUAUACACCUAGGAUAGUUUGAGGAUGAUGUUUCCAUCAGUUCCCUCAUCCAGAUCAAUGCUGCUGUUUCCAUCCAUCAGUGGAUCUCCAUUCAGAGUCCAGCUGUAGAGGAGCUGAUCCCCCUCAGAGGAGCAGAACACCCUCAUCACCCCAC